UUUCCGUAGGUGAACCUGCGGAAGGAUCAUUAUUGUAUAACCGAGGUGCGAGGGCCGUCGCUGACCCGAAAGGUCGUGCACGCCCGAGUGCCCUCACACACAUCCAUCUCACCCCUAUGUGCACCACCGCGUGGGUCCCCCUUUGGCUUGUUCGGAGGGGGGCUUACGUUUUCACACAAACUUUGUAUGCAGUGUAGAAUGUAUUUUUUGUUUUUGCGAUCACGCAAUCAAUACAACUUUCAACAACGGAUCUCUUGGUUCUG
RNAcentral lists this unclassified non-coding RNA (263 nucleotides) under plant metagenome. RNAcentral's name for it is "partial contains small subunit ribosomal RNA, internal transcribed spacer 1, and 5.8S ribosomal RNA". The record is from RNAcentral.